UACGAAGGGGCUAGCGUUGCUCGGAAUCACUGGGCGUAAAGGGUGCGUAGGCGGUCUUUAAGUCAGGGUGAAAUCCUGGAGCUCAACUCCAGAACUGCCUUUGAUACUGAGGAUCUUGAGUUCGGGAGAGGUGAGUGGAACUGCGAGUGUAGAGGUGAAAUUCGUAGAUAUUCGCAAGAACACCAGUGGCGAAGGCGGCUCACUGGCCCGAUACUGACGCUGAGGCACGAAAGCGUGGGAGCAACAGGAU
Molecule: ribosomal RNA, 250 nt
Filed under: uncultured bacterium
Lineage: Bacteria
Description: partial 16S ribosomal RNA
Rfam family: Bacterial small subunit ribosomal RNA
Source: RNAcentral